RNAcentral lists this non-coding RNA (237 nucleotides) under Bacillota bacterium. RNAcentral describes it as "Firmicutes bacterium T-box sequence". It matches the Rfam family "T-box leader". From Rfam's summary of the family: Uncharged tRNA acts as the effector for transcription antitermination of genes in the T-box leader family. T-boxes are found upstream of many aminoacyl-tRNA synthetase genes and some amino acid biosynthetic genes usually in Gram-positive bacteria. The anticodon of a specific tRNA base pairs to a specifier sequence within the T-box motif, and the NCCA acceptor tail of the tRNA base pairs to a conserved bulge in the T-box antiterminator hairpin. Lineage: Bacteria; Bacillati; Bacillota. The record is from RNAcentral.
ACAACAGCAAUGAAAAGGAGAGUAGGCGGCACACAAUGCCACAGAGAGCCCCGCAAGCUGAAAAGGGGCGCAGGAAUGACGCUGAACAUGGCCUUGGAGCUUCGCACCGACUGCUUAGGCAUAGGCUGCGACGGGUUGCGCCCGUUACUGCGUGAGGGUAUGUUUUGUACCUGCUGAGGUCUUUUUUGUGAAAAAAAGAUAAACUAAGGUGGUAACACGGUCACUUCCGUCCUUUGC